AUUGAACGCUGGCGGCAGGCUUAACACAUGCAAGUCGAACGAUGAAACUCUAGCUUGCUAGAGAAGAUUAGUGGCGGACGGGUGAGUAACAUUUAGGAAUCUGCCUAGUAGUGGGGGAUAGCUCGGGGAAACUCGAAUUAAUACCGCAUACGACCUACGGGUGAAAGGGGGCGCAAGCUCUUGCUAUUAGAUGAGCCUAAAUCAGAUUAGCUAGUUGGUGGGGUAAAGGCCCACCAAGGCGACGAUCUGUAACUGGUCUGAGAGGAUGAUCAGUCACACCGGAACUGAGACACGGUCCGGACUCCUACGGGAGGCAGCAGUGGGGAAUAUUGGACAAUGGGGGCAACCCUGAUCCAGCCAUGCCGCGUGUGUGAAGAAGGCCUUUUGGUUGUAAAGCACUUUAAGCAGGGAGGAGAGGCUAAUGGUUAAUACCCAUUAGAUUAGACGUUACCUGCAGAAUAAGCACCGGCUAACUCUGUGCCAGCAGCCGCGGUAAUACAGAGGGUGCGAGCGUUAAUCGGAAUUACUGGGCGUAAAGCGAGUGUAGGUGGCUCAUUAAGUCACAUGUGAAAUCCCCGGGCUUAACCUGGGAACUGCAUGUGAUACUGGUGGUGCUAGAAUAUGUGAGAGGGAAGUAGAAUUCCAGGUGUAGCGGUGAAAUGCGUAGAGAUCUGGAGGAAUACCGAUGGCGAAGGCAGCUUCCUGGCAUAAUAUUGACACUGAGAUUCGAAAGCGUGGGUAGCAAACAGGAUUAGAUACCCUGGUAGUCCACGCCGUAAACGAUGUCUACUAGCCGUUGGGGUCCUUGAGACUUUAGUGGCGCAGUUAACGCGAUAAGUAGACCGCCUGGGGAGUACGGCCGCGAGGUUAAAACUCAAAUGAAUUGACGGGGGCCCGCACAAGCGGUGGAGCAUGUGGUUUAAUUCGAUGCAACGCGAAGAACCUUACCUGGUCUUGACAUAGUGAGAAUCCUGCAGAGAUGCGGGAGUGCCUUCGGGAACUCACAUACAGGUGCUGCAUGGCUGUCGUCAGCUCGUGUCGUGAGAUGUUGGGUUAAGUCCCGCAACGAGCGCAACCCUUUUCCUUAUUUGCCAGCGGGUUAAGCCGGGAACUUUAAGGAUACUGCCAGUGACAAACUGGAGGAAGGCGGGGACGACGUCAAGUCAUCAUGGCCCUUACGACCAGGGCUACACACGUGCUACAAUGGUAGGUACAGAGGGUUGCUACACAGCGAUGUGAUGCUAAUCUCAAAAAGCCUAUCGUAGUCCGGAUUGGAGUCUGCAACUCGACUCCAUGAAGUCGGAAUCGCUAGUAAUCGCAGAUCAGAAUGCUGCGGUGAAUACGUUCCCGGGCCU
This 1355-nucleotide ribosomal RNA is filed under the name uncultured bacterium. Its description in RNAcentral is "bacterial SSU rRNA". It matches the Rfam family "Bacterial small subunit ribosomal RNA", at positions 28 to 1381 of the family's 1533-position model. The record is from RNAcentral.